UUUGAAAAACAGUACCGAACUUUCACACUUUGACCUUGAAUCAAUUUAGAAUAUUCAACAUUGUCUAAAGCGUCAACCUGCCAAGAUUGUUUGAGAUUGACUCAAUAGGCUGGAGGUAAUUAACCAACAGGCUUUACAAAAUAGGAAUAGAGUUAAGUUCAAUUUUGACCCCUUAGGACAUUCCCCUUAGUUCAUAGUUUUUACAUACAAAUUUCAGUUGAGAUUGGCCCAAUAGACUCGGAGGAGUUACGGUGCAAACAAACCCACAUUUCGUCUAUAUAUAUAGAUAUAUAUAUAUAUACGUCGUUACAGUUGUUUCUCUAAGUGGAUGUUAUUUUCAUGCUGUGGUCUAUUUAAUUUAGUACAAUAAAUAGCCAAUAGGUGGAUGAUGGAGGCUGAUAUUGUGAAUUAAUCACGAAAAUGACUUCAAACAUCGACAGCCAGAAAGCACUUCCAAAACAGGAAGUGACAUUAAAAGGAAGUGAAAAUUUCGGAACUAGAUGUUCAACUUUACUUUCUGACCAUAUUUUGUUUCCACCUUCAUGCUGGGAGACUUUCAGAAAACGUUCAGCUGUUUUAUAAAUUCUCACUCGCCUGCGAGCUUGUAUGCAAAUUAAUUCAUUAAUUAAGAUCGCUCGUGACCACGUAAAUAUCUGUGUUUAAAAAUUGAACAUCUCUGGAUUUUUUUAAACACCUAUAAAAACCUGGAAGUAACGAAACCCAUUGUAAACACCUGUGCGGGUUUACGAAGAAACACCAGAAGUGAAGAAAAAUAAAAGUCUGAAGACGUCAUGCUUUUAGGAAGUAUUUUGUUAAACAUUUGUUUCUAACAUGACAGACGGUAAUGCCAUUUUACCGAAUGACACGGCAAUAACGCUAAAAAGUCACAGCACCAAAAUAUAACGAUGUGUUUUCUAUGAUACUAACGAGUUUUGGCAUUGUGCGAAAGACCUCUUGGGUAAUGACUUGUGAGAUUUGGUCUGUACAAUACGACAUAGCAACGGUAUUAACCACUUUGUUCUGCUUAUUGUACUGAAUGUUUGGAGAUGAUCCGCUUACAACAAUACAUGAUAAUUAUACUUACGGUAAUUGAUGAAACUAAUAGGCUUAAAUUGUUUGUGAUAAAAAAACGCGUUAACUUCAGAUUUUUUGCCACAUUCCUCCUUUGUUUGUCUCCCACAAAUCAGCCUAACUAAUGAGUCUUGGUAUUGAACGAAAGACCUCUUGGGCAGUGACCUUGAAUCGGCAAUGAACAAAUAGGGAGGAAUGUGGAAAAACACACAUCUGCAGUUAACGUGAUUUUGUAUCACAAAGUUUUAGGCCUAGUGAGUUGAAGGUAAUGACGCCUGUUACAAUAAAAAUGCUGUUUCUGGACAUUUAUAGAAUUGUAUAACGGUUUGGCUCAUUAGUUGCUAUGGCGACGCUGUAGAGAAAUAUUGUUACUUUACGUUAUGUGAUAUUCAAUCUAGCUGCUCUUAGCGUCGUAAGUUCACGUAAAAGGAAAGCUGUUAAACGUAACAAUUAAUUCACAGAUCUUAAUGGUGUAAUUUGACACACACAAAACGUUGAAGAGAUCGUAAACAAAUAAAUAGAGAUAUACAUAUAGUAACCAAGUUUUUAUUUUCAACGGUUUGUUUUCUUUCAAAGUUUGUAGUGCAUACUGGAGGGAUUUACACAUUGUGAUAAAACUUUACAUAAACGACCUCUACACUCCAGAUGUAAAUAUAUAUAUUUGUUUUUGUAUUACUACCAACGUUUCGCUUUUACGGCUUCUUCAGGGUUAAUACAUACGAACUGUUUGAUACUGAAGUAUACAUAUUUACAUCUGGGGUGUAAAGGUCAUUUAUCUAAACUAUUUUCAAUGGGGGCUAACUUCAUAUCAUUAAAACAAAAAAUGUCUCUUAUGUUUCGAGACAUCAGUGGCUCUCCGAUAAUGACUCCAUUUAUCUCGUAUGACAAAGUAUAGAAAUCUCAGAAGAGCUAUAAUAAAAGUGCAUUCUGUGUUCGCUACGAAUUAAUUUUUCUAAGAACCGUAGAAGACACCAAAUACGCGUGUUCGUUCAGGUAAGUAAUGUUAAACGCGUUAAAUGCGUUGUAACAAAAAUAGCACUUUUAUCAAUGUCACUGUAGUAUGUAAAAAAUUACCAAAGUUAUUGGUAAUCACGCCAUCUAUAAACUAGCUUAUAAAAUAAGAAACUGCUGACUUUUAUCGGGCGAGGGUACUUUUAAUGCAAGGGGCAUGGCCUAAUGAUUAGCGGGCCAGAGUGUAAUUCCGAUACAAGUUUCGUUACCGCAAAAACGCGCCCUGCACUUUCGUGCCGUAGAUGCGUAAUAAGAGUGACGGUCAAAUCCAAAAAUUAUAUUACAGUAGGUUCUAGAUUAGGAACUAGCGCACAUAGCCCUUUUGUAGCUUUAUCUGAAACAAACAACUUAGUGCGGUUCUGUUAAACAAUGUUACUCCCCAUAUUUAAGGAAUACACAACCAAAUGACCUUUAAAUACCUGGAUGAGCGUAAUCCAACAGGUGAACAGUAUAUCAGUGUGUCCGUUGAUAUUCAACCUUAUUAAUUAAUAAGCAUCUUAAGAGGGUUGAAGUAAAUAACAGAUAUUUUAUUAAUGUUCAUUUUGUAGUAAUGUUGUUUUUAUUUAAUUAGACACUCAAAGUUUCGUUUUACAGCUUCUUCAGAAGCGUUCACUAAAACACAAACCGAAACUGACUUUGUACUUUCAAUUUCUGUUUGUGUUUUAGUGAACGCUCCUAAAAAAAGCUGUAACAGUUUAAAGAGAUUUAUGUUAAAUUACGUAAAGAGUUGUGUAACAGUGUUAUCAUAAUGAAUAUUAUAAUUUAUUCGUAUUAAAACUAAUGCGCAGUUAUUUAAGUGACAUUUUUUAUAAGCUCGAACAUAACCCUCUGCAAAGUGCAUAAUAAAGUUUAGUAGCGCCAUCUGUUAGUUAGUUGUGAAUAUAUUUUUGACAUAUUAGAAUAUUAUUAUGAAUUUGUAGGUUUUUCUAAGUUGUUAUUUUCAUGCUAUCAGUUUCAAUGUUAUUUUACAUUUCUAUUUGCACUAACUUUACUGGUUAUGUUUUAUUUUUUAUGUUGUGUAACAAUAUUGUAAUGUACUGU
This 3123-nucleotide long non-coding RNA is filed under the name Limulus polyphemus (Atlantic horseshoe crab). RNAcentral's name for it is "uncharacterized LOC111086336". Lineage: Eukaryota; Metazoa; Arthropoda; Merostomata; Xiphosura; Limulidae. The record is from RNAcentral.